RNAcentral lists this ribosomal RNA (293 nucleotides) under uncultured bacterium. RNAcentral's name for it is "partial 16S ribosomal RNA". It matches the Rfam family "Bacterial small subunit ribosomal RNA", at positions 32 to 322 of the family's 1533-position model. The record is from RNAcentral.
AAUGAAACGCUGGCGGCGUGCUUUUACACAUGCAAGUCGAGCGAGGCGGGUAGCAAUACCCAGUCGAGCGGCGAACGGGUGAGUAACGCGUGGAUUAUCUGCCCUGAGGUGGGGGGAUAACCCGGGGAAAACUCGGGCUAAUACCGCAUAUGACCGUGAGGUCAAAGGGGGGCUCGCAAGGGCUCUCGCCAUAGGAGGAGUCCGCGUUCGAUUAGCUAGUUGGUAGGGUAAUGGCCUACCAAGGCGACGAUCGAUAGCCGGCCUGAGAGGGUGAUCGGCCACACUGGAACUGG